UAUGACGGUACCCUUUCGAAUAAGAGGUUGCUAACUCUGUGCCAGCAGCAGCGGUAAUACAGAGACCUCGAGCGUUAUCCGGAUUUACUGGGCGUAAAGCGUCUGUAGGGGGUUUGUUAAGUUCCAAGUAAAAUCUUAAGGCUCAACUUUAAGUUCGCUUGGAAAACUAAUAAACUGGAGUCCAGCAGAGGUGCAUGGAACUUGCGGUGUAGGAGUGAAAUCCGUUGAUAUCGCAAGGAACACCAAAGGCGAAGGCAUUGCACUGGGCUGGUACUGACCCUGAGAGACGAAAGCGUGGGGAGCAAAACGGAUUAGAUACCCGUGUAGUCCACGCCGUAAACGAUGGAUACUAGAUGUUCGGGGAUUCGACCCCCUGGGUGUCACAGCUAACGCGUUAAGUAUCCCGCCUGGGAAGUACGGCCGCAAGGCUAAAACUCAAAGGAAUAGACGGGGAUCCGCACAAGCGGUGGAGCGUCUGGUUUAAUUUGAUAGUAAGCAAUGGACCUCACCAAGGUUUGACAUCCUAUGACAACCCUGGAAACAGGGCUUCCUUCGGGCAUAGUGACAGGUGCUGCAUGGUCGUCGUCAGUUCGUGCCGUGAGGUGUUCCGUUAAGUCGGGAAACGAACGAAACCCUCGUCGCAUGUUACAAAUUUCAUGCGAGACUGCCCGGGUCAACCGGGAGGAAGGCGGGGAUGACGUCAGAUCAGCAUGGCCCUUAUACCUUGGGCUACACAGGCGUUACAAUGGCCGGUACAAAGGGUUGCAAAACCGCGAGGUGAAGCUAAUCCCAUAAAGCCGGUCCAAGUUCGGAUUGGAGGCUGCAACUCGCCUCCAUGAAGUUGGAAUCGCUAGUAAUCGUGGAUCAGCCAUACCACGGUGAAUACGUUCCCGGAUCUUGUACUCACCGCCCGUCACACCAAGAGAGUUGGUAGCUCCUGAAG
RNAcentral lists this ribosomal RNA (943 nucleotides) under uncultured organism. Its description in RNAcentral is "bacterial SSU rRNA". It matches the Rfam family "Bacterial small subunit ribosomal RNA", at positions 468 to 1426 of the family's 1533-position model. The record is from RNAcentral.